CUGGUCUUAGCCAGGUGGUUACCGCAACAGAGUCAAAAUCUGUGGAAUGUGCAGGUUUGAAACCUGCCGACGAUA
Molecule: non-coding RNA, 75 nt
Organism: Suillus spraguei
Lineage: Eukaryota; Fungi; Basidiomycota; Agaricomycetes; Boletales; Suillaceae
Source: the annotation of a GenBank genome assembly